GAAUGUUCAAUUUGAAUCUUGUAUCGCCAGUUUUUAAACUGUCCCCUCUGUGGCCCUUUCAUUCUACGUGACAUUGGCGAAGUGCAUUGUGCUGGUGUGGCACUACUAAAAGCCAUUAAACAAAAUAAUAAGAAGAAGAAGAA
Maniola jurtina (meadow brown) is the source of this 143-nucleotide long non-coding RNA. RefSeq lists it as uncharacterized. The record is from RefSeq and is a predicted model, not a curated record. The transcript is spliced from 3 exons. NCBI's taxonomy places the organism in Eukaryota, Metazoa, Arthropoda, Insecta, Lepidoptera, Nymphalidae.